Molecule: long non-coding RNA, 14570 nt
Filed under: Triticum aestivum (bread wheat)
Lineage: Eukaryota; Viridiplantae; Streptophyta; Magnoliopsida; Poales; Poaceae
Description: long non-coding RNA (TAES_LNC024592)
Source: RNAcentral
GACAAGAAGGCUUUGUUCUUUUUUUCUUUCUAAACAAAGAUACAUGCAUUAUUCAGUUCCAAAUUGAGAAAGCCCACAAUAGGCAGAGUACAGAAGGUUCGCCAUAAAGGCACGAAACCAAGGGAGUUCAACCAAACAUAAAACAUCUAGGAUAUUUACAGAGCCGGAACACCCUACAAGAGCACACAUGCUUGGAUACACGAGAAGUCACACACAACCGCUCUAAGUAACAAUGAUAGGAUAUCUAGCAAUGCUAUGAAUGUGACAGAGAUUGUUCGUCGCCGGCUGCAUGCCCCCAGAGUCCGGGUGCUUCCCCAACGACACCCAUUGCUGCAAUAACAAAAGGCAUUUAAAAAAUCAGCAGUCUGAGCCGAAAAAAUGACCUUGAUAGUAAUUUUGUUAUGAAUAUGCCAAUGGCCCAUAGAAGAACCCCAAGCCACACAAAGCAGUUAGGAUCGUAAGAAGCUCUGUGCCCAACAAAGGGUUCCAGCUCAUGUCCACAGCUUACCUAACCGCACUCCUUGCGGAGUGUGCUAAGGGGCAUCUCAAGAAUACGUGGUUAGCAUCCUCCUGUAUUGCGCAAUUCCCUUUAGAGGGCUUGUUACAUUUGUCCAUAUUAUCGGAAGUCGAAAGCCCUAUUCCUAAACAUUUGCCACAAGAAAUUUUAACUUUAAGAGGCAAGCUGGCUUUCCAAAGCCCCCUAGCCAUGUCUAUGAAGGGCCCUUCAGAAGUUUGGCGUACGGGGAUUUGGCCGAGAAUUGGCGAGGUGCCAUGACAUGAUGUUUGUUUCAUUGGUAAGGCUAACACUACGAAGCCUCGAGCGCAAAGUAGUCCAGCUUGUGAUCUCAGAGGAGAAAGUUUGUGAUGAAAAGCUAUUGAAGGCUAGGAUGUGAGAAGGACCUCCGUCACCAAUAUAUCCAAAUGAGCUGCCAUGGAUUAAGCUCCUCGAAUCCUAUCCAGAGUGGUUCGAGACUUCAUCAUCCUGAAUGCCCAAUUGAUGCUACCCAGGGCCAGUCAAAACGUUCCAGUGGGUCAAUUGAAUUCAAGUCUAAGGCACUAAACGCAUACUUGGUCAUUCUUGCAACGCCACCAUGUGGAUAUUCUCUCUACUCAUAUAUUCUUUCAAUUGUGUCCUCCUACGAGUGUAGCCGAAACCACGCAUGUUCUAGAAUAGGUAGCGCAUUAUAAGAUACAAUUCUUGAUGCGAACUCCCCUUGAGCUCACAACCUUGAUCACAUGCCUCACCGUCCUAACACGGCGAGCAGAGGAAGGGUCCGUAGCUCCUGGUACAUUCUCUUCCGCCUUGGGCAACAUGACAUUAACCCUGGAAGCCACAACUUUUGUGCCAACCGACGCAGCUUUGGCCGCAACAGCCCCCGCCAGAGAUACAUGUGCCAACUCGCUAGACCUAACUAGUAAUAAAAACUCGGCCUUGAGUGCAUUGCACAAUCUAAUGCUACCCCACAAUCAUCCAUAAUCUCAAGCCAUCUUGCACUUGCAACUACCGGUGGUUUAGCAGAGAGAGAGGGGGGAGAGAGAGAGGGAGAGGGAGAGCGUUAAAAAGAACAGUUUAGUCCUUUUGCAUUGGUGUAAAAUGAGAUAAAUCUUGAAGUGCUUCUUCCUCAAAAGGCCCUUCUACGUUUCAUCAUUUAAACUUCCUCAAACCAUGUGGCUCCAGUCGCAUCAUGCAUACCCUCGGCGUCCUCAUGGACGUUAUUGAGCAGUGUCGCCAUGUUCAUCCCUUUAGAGCAUCUUCAACACCUGCCCUAUUAUAGGUCUGUACUGCCAUUUUUGGAUUUUGGAGGGCAAAAAACGUCUCCAACAGCUGGCCAAAAACUCCAACAUGAUCAAAAAAGAUGAUGGACAAAAAUAUCAUUUUCUAAUAUUUUUAAGGGGUUUGUACUGAAGUACUUUUUGUUAGUUUUUUUAUGACUGGAACUGCAGGAGCUCUGCAUCCUAUGUACCUAAAAUGUAGUUCCCCCUAACUGUUGGGGAACGUAGUAAUUUUAAAAAAAUUCCUACGCACACGCAAGAUCAUGGUAAUGCAUAGCAACGAGAGGGGAGAGUGUGAUCUACGUACCCUUGUAGACCGACAGCGGAAGCGUUGUGACAACGCGGUUGAUGUAGUCGUACGUCUUCACGAUUCGACCGAUCCAAGCACCGUUACUCCGGCACCUCCGAGUUCUUGGCACACGUUCAGCUCGAUGACGAUCCCCGGGCUCCGAUCCAGCAAAGCGUCAGGGAGGAGUUCCGUCAGCACGACGGCGUGGUGACGAUUUUGAUGUUCUACCGUCGCAGGGCUUCGCCUAAGCACUGCUACAAUAUGACUGAGGUGGAAUAUGGUGGAGGGGGGCACCGCACACGGCUAAGGAACGAUCACGAAGAUCAACUUGUGUUCAUGGGGUGCCCCUUGCCUCAGUAUAUAAAGGAUGGAGGAGGAGGAGGCCGGCCAAGGCAAUUGGUGCGGCCAGGAUGUGGAGUCCUACUAGGACUCCAAGUCCUAGUAGGAGUCCACCAAGAGGGGAGGAAGGGAGAAGGAAGUAGAGGAGAAGGAAAGGUGGCCGGCCCCCUUUUCCCUAGUCCAAUUCGGGCCAGAGGGGAGGGGGGGCGCAGCAGCCCCUUGGCCCUUUCUCCUCUUCCCACUAAAGCCCAUCAAGGCCCAUUGCUUCUCCCGUAACUACCCGGUACUCCGAAAAAUACCCGAAUCACUCGGAAUCUUUCCGAUGUCCGAAUAUAGUCGUCCAAUAUAUCGAUCUUUACGUCUCGACCAUUUCGAGACUUCUCGUCAUGUCCCCGAUCUCAUCCGGGACUCCGCAACUCCUUCGGUACAUCAAAACUCAUAAACUCAUAAUAUAACUGUCAUCAAAACCUUAAGCGUACGGACCCUACGGUUCGAGAACAAUGUAGACAUGACCGAGACAUGUCUCCGGUCAAUAACCAAUAGUGGGACCUGGAUGCCCAUAUUGGCUCCUACAUAUUCUACGAAGAUCUUUAUCGGUCAGACCGCAUAACAACAUACGUUGUUCCCUUUGUCAUCGGUAUGUUACUUGCCCGAGAUUCGAUCGUCGGUAUCCAAUACCUAGUUCAAUCUCGUUACCGGCAAGUCUCUUUGCUCGUUCCGUAAUACAUCAUCUCACAACUAACUCAUUAGUUGCAAUGCUUGCAAGGCUUAUGUGAUGUGCAUUACCGAGAGGGCCCAGAGAUACCUCUCCGACAAUCGGAGUGACAAAUCCUAAUCUCAAAAUACGCCAACCCAACAUGUACCUUUGGAGACACCUGUAGAGCACCUUUAUAAUCACCCAGUUACGUUGUGACGUUUGGUAGCACACAAAGUGUUCCUCUGGCAAACGGGAGUUGCAUAAUCUCAUAGUCAUAGGAACAUGUAUAAGUCAUGAAGAAAGCAAUAGCAACAUACUAAACGAUCGGGUGCUAAGCUAAUGGAAUGGGUCAUGUCAAUCAGAUCAUUCACCUAAUGAUGUGAUCCCAUUAAUCAAAUAACAACUCUUUGUCCAUGGUUAGGAAACAUAACCAUCUUUGAUUAACGAGAUAGUCAAGUAGAGGCAUACUAGUGACACUCUGUUUGUCUAUGUAUUCACACAUGUAUUAUGUUUCCGGUUAAUACAAUUCUAGCAUGAAUAAUAAACAUUUAUCAUGAUAUAAGGAAAUAAAUAAUAACUUUAUUAUUGCCUCUAGGGCAUAUUUCCUUCAGUCUCCCACUUGCACUAGAGUCAAUAAUCUAGUUCACAUCGCCAUGCGAUUUAAUAGCAAUAGUUCACAUCACCAUGUGAUUAACACCCAUAGUCCACAUCGAUAUGUGACCGACACCCAAAGGGUUUACUAGAGUCAGUAAUCUAGUUCACAUCGCUAUGUGAUUAACAUCCAAAGAGUACUAAGGUGUGAUCAUGUUUUGCUUGUGAGAUAAUUUUAGUCACUGGGUCUGUUAUAUUAAGAUCCGUAAGUAUUUUGCAAAUAUUUAUGUCAACAAUGCUCUGCACGGAGCUACUCUAGCUAAUUGCUCUCACUUUCAAUAUGUAUCUAGAUUGAGACUUAGAUUCAUCUAGAUUAGUGUCAAAACUUGCAUCGGCGUAACCCUUUAUGACGAACCUUUUUUUCACUUCCAUAAUCGAGAAACAUAUCCUUAUUCCACUAAGGAUAAUUUUGACCGCUGUCCAGUGAUCUACUCCUAGAUCACUAUUGUACUCCCUUGCCAAACUCAGUGGUAGGGUAUACAAUAGAUCUGGUACACAGCAUGGCAUACUUUAUAGAACCUAUGACCAAGGCAUAGGGAAUGACAUUCAUUCUCUUUCUAUCUUCUACCGUGGUCGGGCUUUGAGUCUUACUCAAUUUCACACCUUGUAACAUAGGCAAGAAAUUCUUUCUUUGACUGUUCCAUUUUGAACUACCUCAAAAUCUUGUCAAGGUAUGUAUUUAUUAAAAAACCUUAUCAAGUGUCUUGAUCUAUCUCUAUAGAUCUUGAUUCUCAAUAUGUAAGCAACUUCACCGAGGUAUUUUCUUUGAAAAACUCCUUUCAAACACUCCUUUAUGCUUUGCAGAAUAAUUCUACAUUAUUUCCGAUCAACAAUAUGUCAUUCACAUAUACUUAUCAGAAAUGCUGCAGUGCUCCCACUCACUUUCUUGUAAAUACAGGCUUCACCGCAAGUCUGUAUAAAACUAUAUGCUUUGAUCAACUUAUCAAAGCGUAUAUUCCAACUCUGAGAUGCUUACACCAGUCCAUAGAUGGAUCGCUGGAGUUUGCAUAUUUUGUUAACACCUUUAGGAUUGACAAAAACUUCUGGUUGCAUCAUAUACUACUCUUCUUUAAGAAAUCCAUUAAGGAUUGCAGUUUUGUUAUCCAUUUGCCAGAUUUCAUAAAAUGCGGCAAUUGCUAACAUAAUUUGGACAGAUUUAAGCAUAGAUACGAAUGAGAAACUCUCAUCGUAGUCAACACCUUAAAUUUGUCGAAAACCUUUUGCGACAAUUCUAGCUUUAUAGAUAGUAACACUACUAUCAGCGUCCGUCUUCCUCUUGAAGAUCCAUUUAUUUUCUAUGGCUUGCCGAUCAUCGGGCAAGUCAACCAAAGUCCAUACUUUGUUCUCAUACAUGGAUCCCAUCUCAGAUUUCAUGGCCUCAAGCCAUUUUGCGGAAUCUGGGCUCACCAUCGCUUCUUCAUAGUUCGUAGGUUCGUCAUGGUCAAGUAGCAUGACCUCCAGAACAGGAUUACCGUACCACUCUGGUGCGGAUCUCACUCUGGUUUACCUACGAGAUUCGGUAGUAAUUUGAUCUGAAGUUACAUGAUCAUCAUCAUUAGCUUCCUCACUAAUUGGUGUAGUAGUCACAGAACAGAUUUCUGUGAUGAACUACUUUCCAAUAAGAGAGAAGGUACAAUUACCUUAUCAAGUUCUACUUUUCUCCCACUCACUUCUUUCGAGAGAAUCUCCUUCUCUAGAAAGGAUCCAUUCUUAGCAACGAAUGUCUUGCCUUUAGAUCUGUGAUAGAAGGUGUACCCAACAGUAACUUUUUGGGUAUCCUAUGAAGACACACUUUUCUGAUUUGGGUUUGAGCUUAUCAGGAUGAAACUUUUUCACAUAAGCAUUGCAACCCCAAACUUUAAGAAAUGACAAUUUUGGUUUCUUGCCAAACCACAGUUCAUACGGUGUCGUCUCAACAGAUUUAGAUGGUGCCCUUUUAACGUGAAUGCAACUGUCUCUAAUGCAUAACCCCAAAACGAUAGUGGUAGAUCGGUAAGAGACAUCAUAGAUUGCACUAUAUCCAAUAAAGUACGGUUAUGACGUUCGAACACACCAUUAUGCUGUGGUGUUCCAUGUGGCAUGAGUUUGUGAAACUGUUCCACAUUAUUUUAAUUGAAGACCAAACUCGUAACUCAAAUAUUUGUCUCCGCGAUCAGAUCGUAGAAACUUUAUUUUCUUGUCACGAUGAUUUUCUACUUCACUCUGAAAUUCUUUGAACUUUUCAAAUGUUUCAGACUUAUGUUUCAUCAAGUAGAUAUACCCAUAUCUGCUCAAAUCAUCUGUGAAGUUUAGAAAAUAACGAUACUUGCCGUGAGCCUUAACACUCAUCGGACCGCAUACAUCAGUAUGUAUUAUUUCCAAUAAGUCAGUUGCUCGCUCCGGAGAACGGAGUCUUAGUCAUCUUGCCCAUGAGGCAUGGUUCGCAAGCAUCAAGUGAUUCAUAAUUAAGUGAUUCCAAAAUCCCAUCAGCAUGGAGUUUCUUCAUGCGCUUUACACCAAUAUGACCUAAACGGUAGUGCUACAAAUAAGUUGCACUAUCAUUAUUAACUUUGCAUCUUUUGGUUUCAAUAUUAUGAUUAUGUGUAUCACUAUGAUCGAGAUCCAACGAACUAUUUUCAUUGGGUGUGUAACCAUAUAAGGUUUUAUUCAUGUAAACAGAAUAACAAUUUAUUCUCUUACUUAAAUAAAUAACCGUAUUACAAUAAACAUGAUCAAAUCAUAUUCAUGCUUAACGCAAACACCAAAUAACACUUAUUCAGGUUCAACACUAAUCCCGAAAGUAUAGGGAGUGUGUGAUGAUGAUCAUAUCAAUCUUGGAACCACUUCCAACACACAUCGUCACUUCACCCUUAACUAGUCUCUGUUUAUUCUGCAACUCCCAUUUCGAGUUACUAAUCUUAGCAACUGAACUAGUAUCAAAUACUGAGGGGUUGCUAUAAACACUAGUAAAGUACACAUCAAUAACUUGUAUAUCAAAUAUACUUAUGUUCACUUUGCCAUCCUUCUUAUCUGCCAAUCACUUGGGGUAGUUCCGCUUCCAGUGACCAGUCCCUUUGCAGUAGAAACACUUAGUCUCAGGCUUAGGACCAGACUUGGGCUUCUUCACUUGAGCAGCAACUUGCUUGCUGUUCUUCUUGAAGUUCCCCUUCUUCCCUCUGCCCUUUUCUUGAAACUAGUGGUCUUGUCUACCAUCAACACUUGAUGUUUUUCUCGAUUUCUACCUUCGUCAAUUUCCGCAUUACGAAGAGCUUGGGAAUUGUUUCCGUUAUCCCUUGCAUAUCAUAGUUCAUCACAAAGUUCUACUAACUUAGUGAUGGUGACUAGAGAAUUCUGUCAAUCACUAUCUUAUCUGGAAGAUUAACUCCCACUUGAUUCAAGCGAUUGUAGUACUCAGACAAUCUGGGCACAUGCUCACUAGUUGAGCGAUUCUCCUCCAUCUUUUAGCUAUAGAACUUGUUGGAAACUUCAUAUCUCUCAACUCGGGUAUUUGCUUGAAAUAUUAACUUCAACUCCUGGAACAUCUCAUAUGCUCCAUGACGUUCAAAACGUCUUUGAAGUCCCGAUUCUAAGCCAUUAAGCAUGGUGCACUAAACUAUCAAGUAGUCAUCAUAUUGAGCUAGCCAAACGUUCAUAAUGUCUGCAUCUGCUCCUGCAAUAGGUCUGUCACCUAGCGGUGCAUCAAGGACAUAAUUCUUCUGUGCGGCAAUGAGGAUAAACCUCAGAUCACGGAUCCAAUCCGCAUCAUUGCUACUAACAUCUUUCAACACAAUUUUCUCUAGGAACAUAUCAAAAUAAAUACAGGGAAGCAACAACGCGAUCUAUUGAUCUACAACAUAAUUUGCAAAAUACUACCAGGACUAAGUUCAUGAUAAAUUUAAGUUCAAUUAAUCAUAUUACUUAAGAACUCCCACUUAGAUAGACAUCCCUCUAAUCCUCUAAGUGAUUACGUGAUCCAAAUCAACUAAACCAUGUCCGAUCAUCACGUGAGAUGGAGUAGUUUCAUUGGUGAACAUCGCUAUGUUGAUCAUAUCUGUUAUAUGAUUCACGCUCGACCUUUCAGUCUCCGUGUUCCGAGGCCAUAUCUGUAUAUGCUUGGCUCGUCAAGUAUAACCUGAGUAUUCUGCGUGUGCAAUUGUUUUGCACCCGUUGUAUUUGAACGUAGAGCCUAUCACACCCGAUCAUCACGUGGUGUCUCAGCACGAAGAACUUUCACAACGGUGCAUACCCAGGGAGAACACUUCUUGAUAAUUAGUGAGAGAUCAUCUUAUAAUGCUACCGUCAAUCAAAGCAAGAUAAGAUGCAUAAAAGAUAAACAUCACAUGCAAUCAAUAUAAGUGAUAUGAUAUGGCCAUCAUCAUCUUGUGCUUGUGAUCUCCAUCCUCGAAGCACCGUCGUGAUCACCAUCGUCACCAGCGCGACACCUUGAUCUCCAUCGUAGCAUCGUUGUCGUCUCGCCAAUCUUAUGCUUCCAUGACUAUCGCUACCGCUUAGUGAUAAAGUAAAGCAUUACAGCGCGAUUGCAUUGCAUACAAUAAAGUGACAACCAUAUGGCUCCUGCCAGUUGCCGAUAACUCGGUUACAAAACAUGAUCAUCUCAUACAAUAAAAUUUAGCAUCAUGUCUUGACCAUAUCACAUCACAACAUGCCCUGCAAAAACAAGUUAGACGUCCUCUACUUUGUUGUUGCAAGUUUUACGUGGCUGCUACGGGCUUAAGCAAGAAGCAAUCUUACCUACGCAUCAAAACCACAACGAUAGUUUGUCAAGUUGAUGUUGUUUUAACCUUCGCAAGGACCGGGCGUAGCCACACUCGGUUCAACUAAAAUUGGAGAAACUGUCACCCGCAAGCCAUCUAUGUGCAAAGCACGUCGGGAGAACCGGUCUCGCGUAAGUGUACGCGUAAUGUCGGUCCGGGCCACUUCGUCCAACAAUACCGCCGAACCAAACUAUGACAUGCUGGUAAGUAGUAUGACUUAUAUCGCCCACAACUCACUUGUGUUCUACUCGUGCAUAUAACAUCAACAUAUAAAACCUAGGCUCGGAUGCCACUGUUGGGGAACGUAGUAAUUUCAAAAAAUUUCCUACGCACACGCAAGAUCAUGGUGAUGCAUAGCAAAGAGAGGGGAGAGUGUGAUCUACGUACCCUUGUAGACCGACAGCGGAAGCGUUGUGACAACGCGGUUGAUGUAGUCGUACGUCUUCACGAUUCGACCGAUCCAAGCACCGUUACUCCGGCACCUCCGAGUUCUUGGCACACGUUCAGCUCGAUGACGAUCCCCGGGCUCCGAUCCAGCAAAGCGUCGGGGAGGAGUUCCGUCAGCACGAUGGCGUGGUGACGAUUUUGAUGUUCUACCGUCGCAGGGCUUCGCCUAAGCACUGCUACAAUAUGACCGAGGUGGAAUAUGGUGGAGGAGGGCACCGCACACGGCUAAGGAACGAUCACGAAGAUCAACUUGUGUUCAUGGGGUGCCCCUUGCCUCAGUAUAUAAAGGAUAGAGGAGGAGGAGGCCGGCCAAGGCAAUUGGUGCGGCCAGGAUGUGGAGUCCUACUAGGACUCCAAGUCCUAGUAGGAGUCCACCAAGAAGGGAGGAAGGGAGAAGGAAGUAGAGGAGAAGGAAAGGUGGCCGGCCCCCUUUUCCCUAGUCCAAUUCGGACCAGAGGGGAGGGGGGCGCAGCAGCCCCUUGGCCCUUUCUCCUCUUCCCACUAAAGCCCAUCAAGGCCCAUUGCUUCUCCCGUAACUACCCGGUACUCCGAAAAAUACCCGAAUCAUUCGGAACCUUUCCGAUGUCCGAAUAUAGUCGUCCAAUAUAUCGAUCUUUACGUCUCGACCAUUUCGAGACUCCUCGUCAUGUCCCCGAUCUCAUCCAGGACUCCGAACUCCUUCGGUACAUCAAAACUCAUAAACUCAUAAUAUAACUGUCAUCGAAACCUUAAGCGUGCGGACCCUACGGUUCGAGAACAAUGUAGACAUGACCAAGACAUGUCUCCGGUCAAUAACCAAUAGCGGGACCUGGAUGCCCAUAUUGGCUCCUACAUAUUCUACGAAGAUCUUUAUCGGUCAGACCGCAUAACAACAUACGUUAUUCCCUUUGUCAUCGGUAUGUUACUUGCCCGAGAUUCGAUCGUCGGUAUCUCAAUACCUAGUUCAAUCUUGUUACCGGCAAGUCUCUUUGCUCGUUCCGUAAUACAUCAUCUCACAACUAACUCAUUAGUUGCAAUACUUACAAGGCUUAUGUGAUGUGCAUUACCGAGAGGGCCCAGAGAUACCUCUCCGACAAUCGGAGUGACAAAUCCUAAUCUCGAAAUACGCCAACCCAACAUGUACCUUUGGAGACACCUGUAGAGCACCUUUAUAAUCACCCAGUUACGUUGUGACGUUUGGUAGCACACAAAGUGUUCCUCUGGCAAACGGGAGUUGCAUAAUCUUAUAGUCAUAGGAACAUGUAUAAGUCAUGAAGAAAGCAAUAGCAACAUACUAAACGAUCGGGUGCUAAGCUAAUGGAAUGGGUCAUGUCAAUCAGAUCAUUCACCUAAUGAUGUGAUCCCGUUAAUCAAAUAACAACUCUUUGUCCAUGGUUAGGAAACAUAGCCAUCUUUGAUUAACGAGCUAGUCAAGUAGAGGCAUACUAGUGACACUCUGUUUGUCUAUGUAUUCACACAUGUAUUAUGUUUCCGGUUAAUACAAUUCUAGCAUGAAUAAUAAACAUUUAUCAUGAUAUAAGGAAAUAAAUAAUAACUUUAUUAUUGCCUCUAGGGCAUAUUUCCUUCACUAACUCCAAUUCUCUCUACAUGCAACUAUGCCACAUCAUUAUAUGUGCCAUCCACUCCAUGCAAGCUGCCAUGUCAUCACAAAUUUUCACCUAUGCAAUUGCCACAUCAACAUAUCUUUUUGUUAUAUUUUUAUGAUAAAUGAAAUCUUCGUCUGCAGUUACUGCAAUUGUUAAUUCCCAUCAGUUUGAUUCGCUCUUUCUAACCACUGGUAGAAAAAGGGCCUGUUGUCCCGGUUCGUAAGGGCCUGAACCGGGACUAAAGGGUCGGUACUAAUGCCCUGACCCUUUAGUCCCAGUUCAAACCAGAACCGGGACUAAAGGAAAUUUUCUGAUUUUUUUUUUCAAUUUUUUUUGAAUUUUUUUAUUUUCAAAUUUCUGAAUUAUUUUAACCUCUAAUCUCUAAUCACCCCUCAUCACUGCUCAAUUUAAUCUGUAAUCACCCCUCAUAUUCCAAAUCAUCUAACUUCCCGGACGGUCACCCAUCCUCCCACUCCCCCAGCCUGAGCACGCUUAACUUCCGGGUUCUAUUCUCCCUCGUUUCCAAGUCUAAACUCGUUGUUUUCCGGAUCCUAUUAACCCUCAGGAGUUUAGCUUGAGCAUGAAGUCACACAUUUCACUGUUUGAGUUUGAAACUAUUGUUCUAAAAAACAAUAAUUUUUUAGUAACACUAAUAUUUCUUGAAUAAGUACUUUGACCAUUGUUUGACCAUAGUUUGACCACAGUUUGACCAUAGUUUGACCAGAUUUGACCAAAAUUCAAAAAAACUGAAAUAAUUAUUUAAUAACACUAAUAUUCUUGAAUAAUUACUUAGUAACACAAAUACUUCUUGAAUAAGUAGUUUGACCAUAGUUUGACCAGAUUUAAUGAAAAUUUAAAAAAACUGAAAUUUGAGCAUAACUUUUUUUCCUUUUGGAAUUUGAGGAUUCUACAAAUUUGCAAACAGGCCGUAGGCUGUCUACGAGUAGAUGAUUUUUCAUAUAAAAACUUUUUAAUCCGAGUUCGUAUGCAAAAGUUAUGCCCAUUUUACAAAUUCCAGAGAGAUUUUGUAAAUAAAGUCGAAAUUCAUAUUUGUAAAUUUUCCCAACAACUAGACCACAUAUCACAUGGGAAACUUAUUUUAUUUUAUUUUUUUGACAUUUCAUCAUUUUCUUUUGUUUUUUCUAAAACUAAAAAGGCGGUCCACCGGGGGGGAGUUUGAAAAUGGGACCUUUAGUACCGGUUCGUGCCAUGAACCGGUACUAAUGCCUCAAAGCCCAUUAGUCCCGGUUGGUGGCACCAACCGGGACUAAAGGUCUAACCUUUAGUACCGGUUGGUGCCACCAACCGGGACUAAAGGGCCCAGGUGAACCGGGACUAAUGCCUUAGCCGCACGAACCGAGAUAAAUGCACCCAUUGGUCCCGGUUCUGAACUGAACCGGGACUAAUGAGCUUACCCGGCCUGGACCAAAGCCCCCUUUUCUACUAGUGAACAUGCAGCACCCUCCAUCUCCUCUCACCAUAGGGUGCAAAUGAAUCGAUCGGCAAGGAAGAUGACCAGCCGACAUAAUUUGUAACCGGUCAUCUGUUACUAAUGCACACAAUAUUUUAUUGCCUGGCACAGGUUGUCUUCUGCAUUCCACAUCCCAUCGUGACUCCCUAACCUAGACAAGGGUCGGGCCAAAUUCUCUACACUGGCUUUUUUCCCACCCCUCCUCCAUUCUCCGGUAUGCCAUAGUUACUAGCCUACUGAAGCCCCCUCUACAGCAUGGGCAUUCAACUGUAGCACCUCUAUAAUUUUCAAAUUGCAUAAAGAUGCAUGGAACAGGUAGUAGCGCUGCAAUAUCGAAGUGAAAACCAAAGCAUAUCCAAAACACCAUUGUUGGCUGGAUGGAGAAGGUGAAGGAAUCAAAACUCAAGAUGGAUAGUAUUCCACAAAUUUGUGCCGUUUGUAGAUCAAUUAGGUGAGAUGAGGUCCUUCACCCAACGUCUCUUGCUGAACUUUGCACCUACGGUUUGUCCUCUUUGAUUCCGGUAAGAAAAAGGUCUUAUCAAUAAGUUGUAAAUAGAAUCGCUAGUUUGAGAAUGUUGCAAUAUGUAGCAACACGCCCUAGCUCAAUGAUGGUGGCCUCACGGCCGCUAGCCACGGUGGUGUGGCCAAGGAUUUCGUGCGGGUCCUGGACGUGUGUGGUGCAUGGAGAUCACCGUGGGAGGAAAGUAGUCUAAAUCGACUACGGCACAUUCCUUGCUCCCUCCUGAACUCAAGCCGCCACACCGAUGGAAGGCGCUACCACUGCCGUGCGGUCCUAUUGACGUGCUCGGGAGUACAUCAUGCCCUCCCCGCAGGGCUGCCGUCAUGUUGGUCGCGAUUGCAUCUGUCCCAUCGAUUGUUGUUGAUUGGGAGCUAUACAUAUUCUCGAGUCUGUAGUUUUUUUGUAGGUUGUAAUUUGGGUAUUGCAUAAUCGAAGAAAUCGCCGUUCAACUAAGAAAAAAAACUACCAAAUUUCUUGCCUCAUAUUGCACUGCUUCAUCUCACACCAGUUUAAGUAUAGAACAAAGAGCCUUUCUCCGGGUCUUUUGAUGAUUUGAUAUACGGAACUUUGUAGUGUGAUGAUUCGAACGACAUAUAUAUAUAUAUAUAUAUAUAUAUAUAUAUAUAUAUAUAUAUAUUCCAUUGGCACUUACCAUUAUACUAUUUAGUAUUUACUGAAAUGGCAGGCUAGCUUCUUUUUCCAAGAAUAACUAAUAUAUAGCAUAUAUUGCUGAAGAUUAUCAUUCCUCUCUAAUCAUAUUGGCUGUUUCUCAUUUGCAGACAAGUAGGGGCGAGAAGUGUGAAACAGCCAAGUGAUAUAGUCUAUUAAAACACUGCAGAUCUAAUGAAGGUGACUGAAAGGGAAUCAGUAGCAUUGAUUAUCUGGCUAAUAUACUUUUUCCUCUUGAUGAUGAUUCUUUUGGAAAAUAAUGGUGUACAAUUUUUGUUCUACAAAAUAUUAUAGAUAUGUGCUAUUCUCAAAAAACCUGAUAACAUGUUAUCGUCAGGAGUCAUUGUUAUUCAUAACGAUGAUAAUUUUGAUUAUCAAUUUCAUAUGUUCUUAACCGUAUUAUCAAUAAUUUGUGUGCUACUAAUUCCCGCUGCAACGCUCCAGUUUUCAUUAUAGUGGGGGAAGAAGAAAUACUGUACGAUGGCUAAGGAAAUAGCCAGGAGGAGUAGAGAAGAACAAAAUAGAAUUGAAAGCCAGCACUACCAGACGAAUGCUGAGCAAAGAAAAGGUGUCACGACUUGUCGACUAGCAUGAGUAUCAUCUGCUCACGAGAACAUAUCCGCGGCGGCGAACACGAGGUCCAUCACCCGGCCAAGCAGCCGGAUGGACCGUCCGCUGCGGCGUGACGACUUGCGGCCACGAGGAGGCGUGUCAGCGCUCACCGGUGCUGCGCAGCGGGAAGUAGAUGAAUAGGCGCACGCCGGCGCGGCAGAAGGAGACUGCGCCUGCGCGUCGCUGGCCAUGGUCCCAUGGCGAUCAUGGUCGCUCGCGCACUGACUGUAACACAGAUGGGAUCGCGGUCGCGAGCGGCUGAUUGCGGAGCCGAACUCUCGGUCUCUCGCCUGGGAGGGCCGAUGGGAUCGCGUGCGCGUUGGAGCCGAGGUCCCAGCCGAGCUGAGGCAUCACGAGGAGCGGCGGGCGAUUGCCUUAGCCCGUAAGAUUGCAUCAGCCAUCACGUGUUGCGCAUGGGGCGCCGGCAUGCACAGGCGCGGCUCUGCAUACCGGAUCUACGGAAUUUUUGCCCCACCUAACCACCGCUUCUGGGCAUUCCCGGCUGCGAGCGAGGGCGGUAUGGUCGCGCUGGAGGGGUUGCUACUCCUCAAUUCGGGCGUCAUGGCCAUGCGACGGGAGCAAUAGGAUCGAUUGUCAGCCGGGAGCAAGAAAGGGAAGGGGGACGCGAACCUGCGCGGUGAAUCGAUGACGGCCGCCCGCCGGCCGCGGCGGCGGCACAUCCCGAUGGCGGUGCUAUCUCCCUCAAUUCCACAGCUCCGCUCGCGCUCGCGCUCCCGCUCCCCAUCAAAAUCGUCAGGCCCG